Aedes aegypti (yellow fever mosquito) is the source of this 73-nucleotide non-coding RNA. The record is from Rfam. NCBI's taxonomy places the organism in Eukaryota, Metazoa, Arthropoda, Insecta, Diptera, Culicidae.
CCUCUCAUGGCGUAGUGGUUACGCGCCCCAACUAGAGAUCUGGGAGUCGUGAGUUCGAUUCUCACUGAGAAGA